GACAGCUUGGCCGAGUGGUUAAGGCGAUAGACUAGAAAUCUAUUGGGGUAACCCGCGUGAGCUCAAAUCUCACAGCGGUCG
Phytophthora infestans T30-4 is the source of this 81-nucleotide transfer RNA. It matches the Rfam family "tRNA". From Rfam's summary of the family: Transfer RNA (tRNA) molecules are approximately 80 nucleotides in length. The record is from Rfam. Lineage: Eukaryota; Oomycota; Peronosporomycetes; Peronosporales; Peronosporaceae.